This 1185-nucleotide ribosomal RNA is filed under the name Gomphus externus (plains clubtail). RNAcentral's name for it is "partial 16S ribosomal RNA". Lineage: Eukaryota; Metazoa; Arthropoda; Insecta; Odonata; Gomphidae. The record is from RNAcentral.
ACCUUUUAUCUUACUUUUUUUGUUAAUUUUAUUGUAGGAGAAAUAUCUUUUUUUUUAGUAUAAGUAAAGAACAAAGUUUUUAUUGUUAUAGUGUAUUAGUACUGUAAAGGAAUAUUGGUGAAAUAUUUUGAAAAUAUAAGUUUUAUAAAGUAGAUUUUGUUUUUCGUACCUUUUGUAUCAGGGUUAAUUAAAUAUAUUUAAUUUAUUUUAUUUUCUCGAUUUCAGAAGAGCUAAUUUUAAAUUAUUGUUGUUGUAGCAUAACCAUAUUUAAUUUAAUUUUGGAGGAGAUAUUUUACUCGAUUUUGAAGGUAUCUAGUUUUUUAAGAAAUAAAUUUAAUUUAGACUUAAUUAUUAAGUAAUUUAUUUAUUAAUUAUUUAUUAAUUGGGAUUAAAAUAUUAGGGGAUAAGCUCUAGUAUUAUUCUAAAAAUUUUUGUUUUAUUUAAUUUUUGUAGGCUUUAAAUCAGCUAUCAUCAAGAGUUCGUUGUAGAUCAAAUAAAUAGGAUUGUGAUUUUCUUUAUUUUAGUAUUUUAUUAAAAUGAUAUUUUUAAUUUUAUAAAGUUUUUAAUAAUGAUUAAAUUAGUAUAUUUUUAUUGUAUAUCAUUAAUUUUUUGGUAUAAUUAAAUAAGGAAUUCGGCAAAUUUAACGCUCGCCUGUUUAUCAAAAACAUGUCCUCUUGUUUAUAUAUGAGGUCUGACCUGCCCGGUGAAAGUUAUUUUAACGGCCGCAGUAUUUUGACUGUGCAAAGGUAGCAUAAUCAUUAGUCUUUUAAUAGGGGGCUGGUAUGAAGGGUUUGACGAGGUGUUAACUGUCUCAUUUAAUUUGUAUUUAGAAUUUAACUUUUCAGUUAAAAGGCUGAAAUUGUAUUGGAAGACGAGAAGACCCUAUAGAGCUUUAUAAUUAGUAUUUUAAUUGUUUUUUGUAAUAUAAAUUAUGAUUAUAAUUUUAAUUAUUUUGUUGGGGUGACAAAAAUAUAUAUUUAACUUUUUUAUUUAAUUGACAUUGAUUUAUGAAUGUUAGAUCCAGUCUUAUUGAUUGUUAGAUUAAGUUACCUUAGGGAUAACAGCGUAAUCUUCCUCCAGAGUUCAUAUUUACGGGAAGGCUUGCGACCUCGAUGUUGGAUUAAGAUAAUAAGUUAGGUGUAGCCGCUUAAUGUAUAAGUCUGUUCGACCUUUAAAUUCUUACAU